Long non-coding RNA from Triticum aestivum (bread wheat), 802 nucleotides. RefSeq lists it as uncharacterized. The record is from RefSeq and is a predicted model, not a curated record. The transcript is spliced from 4 exons. Lineage: Eukaryota; Viridiplantae; Streptophyta; Magnoliopsida; Poales; Poaceae.
CUGGGCCUGCUCGCAAGAUUAUAACUUGGCGCACCGUCGCAGAGCGCAAGAAAGAAACUAGCCCCCAAAUCCCCAGCCCACACCUCGCCGGCGGAGGCGGAAAGAAGGCAAACAAGGAACCCUAGCCGCCUGAGGAAGGAGCGCCCAGAUCUAUCCGCAAGACCGGCGAGGAUCCAUGGCAGCGGUUCGAUGCCUGGCGAGGAGGCUCGGUAAAACGCUGGCGACGGUCGCGGAGGAGCGACGCGGCCAACUCGUGCCAAGAAGGUUCUUCAGCGAGCAUGCUCAUGAGAUGAAGCAGAAGAUGAGGAAGCAGAAGGUGGAGGAGCUGUAUGAUGCCUUAUACAAGCGGGGGAAGAUUCCCACCACUAGUCCCUCUGUACAAGCCAGUCAAGAACCCGACCGUCUGCGUACUCGGCGUUAUGCAAUGAGGAUUCGGGGUGUGUUUGACUUAGCUGCCAAGAUGACGUUAGGCUUUAUGCUGGUUGCUUAUGCGGUUAGUCCCAAACUGCCCAGAGAAGAGGACACCACCAAUAAUUGCCCACAAUGCGGCUUGAGAACAUCAACGACCAGAGAAGGCACCACCAAUAAUUGAGAACCAAAGAUGAUGCUAUCUUUAAUUUGUGAUAUUGUGUGACAUGGUAUCAUGUAAUUAUAUCUCUUGUCUAUUAACUAAUUGAGUAGAAUAUACAGUACUCGAACAAAUUGUGCAAGGAAUCAGGUCUCUUCUACAUUGUAUCAUGUAAUUAUAUCUCUUAUCUAUUAACUAAUUGAGUAGAAUACAGUACUCGAACAAAUUGUGCAA